Molecule: ribosomal RNA, 483 nt
Filed under: uncultured bacterium
Lineage: Bacteria
Description: partial 16S ribosomal RNA
Rfam family: Bacterial small subunit ribosomal RNA
Source: RNAcentral
GACGAACGCUGGCGGCGUGCUUAACACAUGCAAGUCGAACGAUGAAGCGGGUGCUUGCACUCGUGGAUUAGUGGCGAACGGGCGAGUAACACGUGAGUAACCUGUCCUUUUCUUUGGGUUAACGGCUGGAAACGGCUGCUAAUACUGGAUAUUCAGGCUGCAUCGCAUGGUGUGGUUUGGAAAGGUUUUUUCUGGGAUUGGGUGGGCUCGCGGCCUAUCAGCUUGUUGGUGGGGUGAUGGCUUACCAAGGCUUUGACGGGUAGCCGGCCUGAGAGGGUGGUCGGUCGCACUGGGACUGAGAUACGGCCCAGACUCCUACGGGAGGCAGCAGUGGGGAAUAUUGCACAAUGGACGAAAGUUUGAUGCAGCGACGCCGCGUGGAGGGUGUAGGCCUUCGGGUUGUGAACUCCUUUUUCUCGCGAAAAAGGCACAGUUUUGGCUGUGUUGAUGGUAGUGGGGGAAGAAGCGCCGGCUAACUACGUG